UCCGGUUUGUCACCGGCAGUCUCAUUAGAGUGCCCUUUCGUAGCAACUAAGGACAAGGGUUGCGCUCGUUGCGGGACUUAACCCAACAUCUCACGACACGAGCUGACGACGGCCAUGCAGCACCUGUGCGGGCUCCGUAGAGCGCCGGCUUUCACCGGCUUUACCCUGCAUGUCAAGCCCAGGUAAGGUUCUUCGCGUCGCAUCGAAUUAAGCAACAUGCUCCGCCGCUUGUGCGGGGCCCCGUCAAUUCCUUUGAGUUUUAGCCUUGCGGCCGUACUCCCCAGGCGGGGUGCUUAAUGCGUUAGCUUCGGCACGGACGGGGUUGAUAUCCGCCCACACCUAGCACCCAACGUUUACGGCUAGGACUAC
This 369-nucleotide unclassified non-coding RNA is filed under the name uncultured Actinomycetes bacterium. RNAcentral describes it as "uncultured actinobacterium contains 16S-23S intergenic spacer region". Lineage: Bacteria; Bacillati; Actinomycetota; Actinomycetes. The record is from RNAcentral.